UAAUACGAAGGGACCUAGCGUAGUUCGGAAUUACUGGGCUUAAAGAGUUCGUAGGUGGUUGAAAAAGUUAGUGGUGAAAUCCCAGAGCUUAACUCUGGAACUGCCAUUAAAACUUUUCAGCUAGAGUAUGAUAGAGGAAAGCAGAAUUUCUAGUGUAGAGGUGAAAUUCGUAGAUAUUAGAAAGAAUACCAAUUGCGAAGGCAGCUUUCUGGAUCAUUACUGACACUGAGGAACGAAAGCAUGGGUAGCGAAGAGGAUUAGAUACCCUCGUAGUCCAUGCCGUAAACGAUGUGUGUUAGACGUUGGAAAUUUAUUUUCAGUGUCGCAGGGAAACCGAUAAACACACCGCCUGGGGAGUACGACCGCAAGGUUA
Molecule: ribosomal RNA, 373 nt
Filed under: uncultured bacterium
Lineage: Bacteria
Description: bacterial SSU rRNA
Rfam family: Bacterial small subunit ribosomal RNA
Source: RNAcentral